RNAcentral lists this ribosomal RNA (497 nucleotides) under uncultured bacterium. Its description in RNAcentral is "partial 16S ribosomal RNA". It matches the Rfam family "Bacterial small subunit ribosomal RNA", at positions 28 to 507 of the family's 1533-position model. The record is from RNAcentral.
GACGAACGCUGGCGGCGUGCCUAAUACAUGCAAGUUGAGCGAUGAAGAUUGGUGCUUGCACCAAUUUGAAGAGCAGCGAACGGGUGAGUAACGCGUGGGGAAUCUGCCUUUGAGCGGGGGACAACAUUUGGAAACGAAUGCUAAUACCGCAUAACAACUUUAAACAUAAGUUUUAAGUUUGAAAGAUGCAAUUGCAUCACUCAAAGAUGAUCCCGCGUUGUAUUAGCUAGUUGGUGAGGUAAAGGCUCACCAAGGCGAUGAUACAUAGCCGACCUGAGAGGGUGAUCGGCCACAUUGGGACUGGGACACGGCCCAAACUCCUACGGGAGGCAGCAGUAGGGAAUCUUCGGCAAUUGACGAAAGUCUUACCGGGCAACGCCGCGUGAGUGAAUAAGGUUUUCGGAUCGUAAAACUCUGUUGGUAGAGAAGAACGUUGGUGGGAGUGGAAAGCUCAUCAAGUGACGGUAACUACCCAGAAAGGGACGGCUAACUACGUG